RNAcentral lists this long non-coding RNA (219 nucleotides) under Elaeis guineensis (African oil palm). RNAcentral describes it as "long non-coding RNA (EGUI_LNC054894)". Lineage: Eukaryota; Viridiplantae; Streptophyta; Magnoliopsida; Arecales; Arecaceae. The record is from RNAcentral.
GGGUGGCUAUGUAAGUAGGACAAUUCCUCUUUCAAUGACCCAGCUUCUUACAAAAGAAGCAUUCUACCUGGCUCUUAUCAACUUUUGAUGUUUUGCUCUACUUGAGAUCGACAGCAUGAGAUUUCUGCACCUACUUCUUCUUUCCUCUCCUAGAAGAUCGACGAUCUGCAAAUGAACCUCCCACAACAUGCAUCAGCUCCUUCUGGAGCUGAUGAUCUU